Molecule: ribosomal RNA, 967 nt
Filed under: uncultured Chryseobacterium sp.
Lineage: Bacteria; Pseudomonadati; Bacteroidota; Flavobacteriia; Flavobacteriales; Weeksellaceae
Description: partial 16S ribosomal RNA
Source: RNAcentral
GUCACGARCCMGGYCGAGGUAUAAUWACGRAGGGAUGCMAUGCGUUAUCAGGAAUGUAUCGGGUUUAAGGUWCCGUAGCSGGAUACUSUMAMGUCAGUGGUSAAAUCUCACAGCUURACUGUGAAACUGCCAGUGAUUACUGCAGGUCUUGAGURUGUUGAAGUAGCUGGAAUAAGUAGUGUAGCGGUGAAAUGCAUAGMUAUUACUUAGAACACCAAUUGCGAAGSCAGGUUACUAAGCAACAACUGACGCUGAUGSACGAAAGCGUGGGGAGCGAACAGGAUYAGAUACCCUGGUAGUCCACGCCGUAAACGAUGCUAACUCGUUUUUGGUAUUUCGGUAUCAGAGAYUAAGCGAAAGUGAUAAGUUAKCCACCUGGGGAGUACGUUCGCAAGAAUGAAACUCAAAGGAAUUGMCGGGGGCCCGCACAAGCGGUGGAUUAUGUGGUUUAAUUCGAUGAUACGCGAGGAACCUUACCAAGGCUUAAAUGGGAAAUGACAGGUUUAGAAAUAGACUUUUCUUCGGACAUUUUUCAAGGUGCUGCAUGGUUGUCGUCAGCUCGUGCCGUGAGGWGUUAGGUWAAGUCCKGCAACGAGCGCAWCCCCUGUCACUAGUUGCCAUCAUUAAGUUGGGGACUCUAGUGAGACUSCCUACGCAAGUAGAGAGGAAGGUGGGGAUGACGUCAAAUCAUCACGGCCCUUACGCCYUGGGCCACACMCGUAAUACAAUGGCCGGUACAGAGGGCAGCUACACAGMGAUGUGAUGCAAAUCUCGAAAGCCGGUCUCAGUUCGGAUUGGAGUYUGCAACUCGACUCUAUGAAGCUGGAAUCGCUAGUAAUCGCGCAUCAGCCAUGGCGCGGUGAAUACGUUCCCGGRCCUUGUACACACCGCCCGYCAAGCCAUGGAAGUCUGGGGUACCUGAAGUCGGUGMCCGUAAUAGGAGCUCCCAGAGGWWKRUCCCGGMYYG